CAGCAGCCGCGGGAAUACGAACCGUGCGAACGUUACUCGGAAUCACUGGGCUUAAAGCGCGUGUAGGUGGAUGGGAACGUCGGUCGUUGAAAUCCCCCGGCUUAACCGGGGAAGUGGCGCCGAUACGCCCCGUCUCGAGGAACGUAGGGGGAGCUGGAACUUCCGGUGGAGCGGUGAAAUGCGUUGAGAUCGGAAGGAACGCCCGUGGUGAAAGCGAGCUCCUGGACGUUUUCUGACACUGAGACGCGAAAGCCAGGGGAGCGAACGGGAUUAGAUACCCCCGUAGUCCCUGUCUCUUAUA
Molecule: ribosomal RNA, 301 nt
Filed under: uncultured bacterium
Lineage: Bacteria
Description: partial 16S ribosomal RNA
Rfam family: Bacterial small subunit ribosomal RNA
Source: RNAcentral